UACAGAGGGUGCGAGCGUUAAUCGGAUUUACUGGGCGUAAAGCGUACGUAGGCGGCUUUUUAAGUCGGAUGUGAAAUCCCUGAGCUUAACUUAGGAAUUGCAUUCGAUACUGGGAAGCUAGAGUAUGGGAGAGGAUGGUAGAAUUCCAGGUGUAGCGGUGAAAUGCGUAGAGAUCUGGAGGAAUACCGAUGGCGAAGGCAGCCAUCUGGCCUAAUACUGACGCUGAGGUACGAAAGCAUUGGGGAGCAAACAGG
Molecule: ribosomal RNA, 254 nt
Filed under: uncultured Acinetobacter sp.
Lineage: Bacteria; Pseudomonadati; Pseudomonadota; Gammaproteobacteria; Moraxellales; Moraxellaceae
Description: partial 16S ribosomal RNA
Rfam family: Bacterial small subunit ribosomal RNA
Source: RNAcentral